ACUUUUUAGUCUUUUUAAUUUCAAUUUUUUUGUUAGCUUCCUAGUCUGAAAAUAGAUUUUAGUCCAGGGGCUUGUUGUGAGUCAGCAACAUGAGGUCCUCGCCCAAGCUAAGUUCAUGUCUGCUGCAAUGUAGGAAUGUGUUACUGUGCCCAUGUAUCCAGUAGAGUAGAUAGGAUUUUUGUAUGUCCAUAAUUCCCCCGCAAGAUGAGGUACCGUUCUUUUUCUUUUUGUAUUAAAUAUCUGAUUAGUAGUUUGAAGCAGAGAAUUGCGUCCAUAGUUUAUAUUUUUUUAUGUUUUUUUUUGCAUGUUGAAUGCACAAUAGUGUCUCUCGCUUAAUGAAUGAUAUGCACACUCGUGCGUAUUCGAGAAAAAAAUAGUGUCCCUCGCUCAGGCACGUCGAUCGGCAAUGUCGGUGUGGCAGAUCAUACUGCCGAAGUUCUUGUUGGUGAUAUACCUCAUAUCUGAAGAGAUUAGGGUAGUUGUUUGUGUGGAUCAAGCAAAGUUUAAUAGCUUCAACUCUAUAGUCAACUCUAGGAUUUUUUAGUUAUUUUCUCGUGUCCUUAUUGUUCAAGCAGCCAAUAGAUUUGGAGGUGUUUUUGUGUGUUUUUUCAUGCAGUUGUAAGGUGCUGGAGAGUGUGGCAGAUCAUACUGUUUUUGUGUGUUUAAGUUCAGUUAGGUUCAGUUAGUCUGGUUCUUUUUCUGCUUCUUCAUAUGUAAAGCCAAGUAAAUUGUACUUCUUUAGUCUGAACCAAGUAAAUUGUACUUCUUUAGUCUGAAGUUCAGUUAGGUUCAGUAAGGUGCUGGAGAUGUACAUGCAUGCAUAUUCAUUUUUGUACACUUUUCUUUUUUUGCAAAAUAAAUUGCAUUGGAUACUAAAUUUGUUAACAAUACAUGAACUAUUAUAGCCAAGUAGCUAUAAUAGUGAUUAGUAUCUUUUUUGUUUUUUUACUGGAAGUAGUACUAGUAGCACCACCAUUUUUCUAUGUAGGUACAUUUAGUUCAGAG
Molecule: long non-coding RNA, 1005 nt
Filed under: Triticum aestivum (bread wheat)
Lineage: Eukaryota; Viridiplantae; Streptophyta; Magnoliopsida; Poales; Poaceae
Description: long non-coding RNA (TAES_LNC012956)
Source: RNAcentral